Molecule: transfer RNA, 65 nt
Filed under: Tetraloides nigrifrons
Lineage: Eukaryota; Metazoa; Arthropoda; Malacostraca; Decapoda; Tetraliidae
Description: tRNA-Cys
Rfam family: tRNA
About the family: Transfer RNA (tRNA) molecules are approximately 80 nucleotides in length.
Source: RNAcentral
GAUUCUAUAGUUAAAUCUAUAAUAUUAGAUUGCAAGUCUAAAGAUGUAUAAAUAUACUAGAAUUU